Molecule: ribosomal RNA, 443 nt
Filed under: uncultured bacterium
Lineage: Bacteria
Description: partial 16S ribosomal RNA
Rfam family: Bacterial small subunit ribosomal RNA
Source: RNAcentral
CCUACGGGUGGCAGCAGUGGGGAAUAUUUGGCAAUGGGCGCAAGCCUGACCCAGCAACGCCGCGUGAAGGAAGAAGGCUUUCGGGUUGUACACUUCUUUUCUCAGGGACGAAGCAAGUGACGGUACCUGAGGAAUAAGCCACGGCUAACUACGUUCCUGCAGCCGCGGUAAUACGUAGGUGGCAAGCAUUAUUCGGAUUUACUGGGUGUAAGGGGCGUGUAGGCGGGGACGCAAGUCAGAUGUGAAAACCACGGGCCCAACCUGUUGCCUGCAUUUGAAACUGUGUUUCUUGAGUACUGGAGAGGCAGACGGAAUGCCGAGUGUAGCGGUGAAAUGCGUAGAUAUUAGGAGGAACACCAGUGGCGAAGGCGGUCUGCUGGACAGCAACUGACGCUGAGGCGCGAAAGCGUGGGGAGCAAACAGGAUUAGAUACCCGAGUAGUC